AAAACAACAGGGAUUGCCCUAGUAACGGCGAGUGAAGCGGCAACAGCUCAAAUUUGAAAUCUGGCGUCUUUGGCGUCCGAGUUGUAAUUUGCAGAGGGCGCUUUGGCAUUGGCAGCGGUCCAAGUUCCUUGGAACAGGACGUCACAGAGGGUGAGAAUCCCGUACGUGGUCGCUAGCCUUUACCGUGUAAAGCCCCUUCGACGAGUCGAGUUGUUUGGGAAUGCAGCUCUAAAUGGGAGGUAAAUUUCUUCUAAAGCUAAAUACUGGCCAGAGACCGAUAGCGCACAAGUAGAGUGAUCGAAAGAUGAAAAGCACUUUGGAAAGAGAGUUAAACAGUACGUGAAAUUGUUGAAAGGGAAGCGCUUGCAACCAGACUUGCACGCAGUUGAUCAUCCGGUGUUCUCACCGGGGCACUCUGCUGCGUUCAGGCCAGCAUCGGUUUUGGUGGUUGGAUAAAGGCCUUGGGAAUGUAGCUUCCUUCGGGGAGUGUUAUAGCCCUCGGUGCAAUGCAGCCUACCGGGACCGAGGACCGCGCUUCGGCUAGGAUGCUGGCGUAAUGGUUGUAAGCGGCCCGUCUUGAAACACGGACCAAGGAGUCUAACAUCUAUGCGAGUGUUUGGGUGUCAAACCCAUACGCGUAAUGAAAGUGAACGGAGGUGAGAACCCUUAAGGGUGCAUCAUCGACCGGUCCUGAUGUCUUCGGAUGGAUCUGAGUAAGAGCAUAGCUGUUGGGACCCGAAAGAUGGUGAACUAUGCGUGAAUAGGGUGAAGCCAGAGGAAACUCUGGUGGAGGCUCGCAGCGGUUCUGACGUGCAAAUCGAUCGUCAAAUUUGCGCAUAGGGGCGAAAGACUUAUCGAACCAUCUAGUAGCUGGUUCCUGCCGAAGUUUCCCUCAGGAUAGCAGUGUUGAAUUCAGUUUUAUGAGGUAAAGCGAAUGAUUAGAGGCCUUUGGGGUUGAACAACCUUAACCUAUUCUCAAACUUUAAUAUGUAA
This 993-nucleotide ribosomal RNA is filed under the name uncultured fungus. RNAcentral's name for it is "LSU rRNA". It matches the Rfam family "Eukaryotic large subunit ribosomal RNA", at positions 62 to 1076 of the family's 3401-position model. Lineage: Eukaryota; Fungi. The record is from RNAcentral.